GUUGGUCCUGUGGGCCCCUGGAAGGGUCUGGCAGCUCCCACGAUGGGCCCAGGAGCUCUGAGGAGUCUCUGGGCUGAUCUGGAGAUGUCCCAGUAGAGUCUGCGAGGGUCCAGGGAGCCCUCGUGUGGGUCUGAGUGGUCAUCCAGAAGGGUCUGGGGAUGGCCCAGAGAGGACUUGGAGGGUCUGGGGGGUCCUUUGGUGGGUUCUGCUGGUCCUGUUGUCUUCUGGAAGGGUCUGAAGAUGUCCCAGAAGUGUCUUGGGGUGUCCAGGGGGUGCUGCCACUGAGCCUCCCACUGUCCUAUGAGGGGACAAAAGGACCCCCCUGGGGGCAUUGCGUCAAAGUUGGGGACACUGUGAGCAGCUUGAGGACUUCCCAGGGGAAGUGGGGACACCGCGUCACUGUGUCACACCUCAAAGUUGGGGACACCCCCACCGUGUCACACCUCAAAGUUGGGGCAUCUCUGUGUCCCCCCGAUGGUGUCAGACCCCAAAGUUGGGGACACACCACAGUG
RNAcentral lists this long non-coding RNA (512 nucleotides) under Gallus gallus (chicken). RNAcentral's name for it is "lncRNA (ENSGALG00010000776.1)". The record is from RNAcentral. Lineage: Eukaryota; Metazoa; Chordata; Aves; Galliformes; Phasianidae.